This 206-nucleotide ribosomal RNA is filed under the name uncultured bacterium. RNAcentral describes it as "partial 16S ribosomal RNA". It matches the Rfam family "Bacterial small subunit ribosomal RNA", at positions 1287 to 1500 of the family's 1533-position model. The record is from RNAcentral.
CUCAGUUCGGAUUGGAGGCUGAAACCCGCCUCCAUGAAGUUGGAUUCGCUAGUAAUCGCGCAUCAGCCAUGGCGCGGUGAAUACGUUCCCGGGCCUUGUACACACCGCCCGUCAAGCCAUGGAAGCCGGGAGUGCCUGAAGUGCGUGAGCGCAAGCAGCGCCCUAAGGUAAAACCGGUGACUGGGGCUAAGUCGUAACAAGGUAUC